CAGUAGCCGCGGUAAUACGAGGGGGGCAAGCGUUGUUCGGAAUUAUUGGGCGUAAAGGGAGCGUAGGCGGAUCGUUAAGUUGGGGGUGAAAGCCCGGGGCUCAACCUCGGAAUUGCCUUCAAUACUGGCGAUCUUGAGUAUGGAAGAGGUAUGUGGAACUCCGAGUGUAGAGGUGAAAUUCGUAGAUAUUCGGAAGAACACCAGUGGCGAAGGCGACAUACUGGUCCAUUACUGACGCUGAGGCUCGAAAGCGUGGGGAGCAAACAGGAUUAGAUACCCCGGUAGUCCCUGUCUCUUAUAC
RNAcentral lists this ribosomal RNA (301 nucleotides) under uncultured bacterium. Its description in RNAcentral is "partial 16S ribosomal RNA". It matches the Rfam family "Bacterial small subunit ribosomal RNA", at positions 509 to 807 of the family's 1533-position model. The record is from RNAcentral.